This 567-nucleotide ribosomal RNA is filed under the name uncultured Bifidobacterium sp. RNAcentral describes it as "bacterial SSU rRNA". It matches the Rfam family "Bacterial small subunit ribosomal RNA", at positions 146 to 711 of the family's 1533-position model. The record is from RNAcentral. Lineage: Bacteria; Bacillati; Actinomycetota; Actinomycetes; Bifidobacteriales; Bifidobacteriaceae.
UCUCCUGGAAACGGGUGGUAAUGCCGGAUGUUCCACAUGAGCGCAUGCGAGUGUGGGAAAGGCUUUUUGCGGCAUGGGAUGGGGUCGCGUCCUAUCAGCUUGUUGGUGGGGUAACGGCCUACCAAGGCGUUGACGGGUAGCCGGCCUGAGAGGGCGACCGGCCACAUUGGGACUGAGAUACGGCCCAGACUCCUACGGGAGGCAGCAGUGGGGAAUAUUGCACAAUGGGCGCAAGCCUGAUGCAGCGACGCCGCGUGCGGGACGGAGGCCUUCGGGUUGUAAACCGCUUUUGUUCAAGGGCAAGGCACGGUUUCGGCCGUGUUGAGUGGAUUGUUCGAAUAAGCACCGGCUAACUACGUGCCAGCAGCCGCGGUAAUACGUAGGGUGCAAGCGUUAUCCGGAUUUAUUGGGCGUAAAGGGCUCGUAGGCGGUUCGUCGCGUCCGGUGUGAAAGUCCAUCGCUUAACGGUGGAUCCGCGCCGGGUACGGGCGGGCUUGAGUGCGGUAGGGGAGACUGGAAUUCCCGGUGUAACGGUGGAAUGGUGUAGAUUAUCGGGAAGAAACACCA